CUACGUGCCAGCAGCCGCGGUAAUACGGAAGGUCCGGGCGUUAUCCGGAUUUAUUGGGUUUAAAGGGAGCGUAGGCUGGAGAUUAAGUGUGUUGUGAAAUGUAGACGCUCAACGUCUGACUUGCAGCGCAUACUGGUUUCCUUGAGUACGCACAACGUUGGCGGAAUUCGUCGUGUAGCGGUGAAAUGCUUAGAUAUGACGAAGAACUCCGAUUGCGAAGGCAGCUGACGGGAGCGCAACUGACGCUGAAGCUCGAAGGUGCGGGUAUCGAACAGGAUUAGAUACCCUGGUAGUCCGCACAGUAAACGAUGGAUGCCCGCUGUUGGUACCUGGUAUCAGCGGCUAAGCGAAAGCAUUAAGCAUCCCACCUGGGGAGUACGCCGGCAACGGUGAAACUCAAAGGAAUUGACGGGGGCCCGCACAAGCGGAGGAACAUGUGGUUUAAUUCGAAGCAACGCGAAGAACCUUACCAGGUCUUGACAUCCCUCUGACCGCUCUAGAGAUAGAGCUUUC
Molecule: ribosomal RNA, 513 nt
Filed under: uncultured bacterium
Lineage: Bacteria
Description: bacterial SSU rRNA
Rfam family: Bacterial small subunit ribosomal RNA
Source: RNAcentral